RNAcentral lists this ribosomal RNA (487 nucleotides) under uncultured bacterium. RNAcentral describes it as "bacterial SSU rRNA". It matches the Rfam family "Bacterial small subunit ribosomal RNA", at positions 28 to 507 of the family's 1533-position model. The record is from RNAcentral.
GAUGAACGCUAGCGGGAGGCUUAACACAUGCAAGUCGAGGGGCAUCACGAGGUAGCAAUACUUUGGUGGCGACCGGCGCACGGGUGAGUAACACGUAUGCAACCUUCCCUGUACAGGGGGAUAACCCGGAGAAAUUCGGACUAAUAUCCCGUAAUAAUAUCCGGAGGCAUCUUUGGAUAUUUAAAGUUCCGACGGUACGGGAUGGGCAUGCGUAACAUUAGCUGGUUGGUAAGGUAACGGCUUACCAAGGCUAUGAUGUUUAGGGGUCCUGAGAGGGUGGUCCCCCACACUGGUACUGAGACACGGACCAGACUCCUACGGGAGGCAGCAGUGAGGAAUAUUGGUCAAUGGGCGCAAGCCUGAACCAGCCAUCCCGCGUGCAGGAAGACGGCCCUAUGGGUUGUAAACUGCUUUUCCAGGGAGAGAAACUUACGCACGUGUUGCGUGACUGACGGUACCCUGGGAAUAAGCAUCGGCUAACUCCGUG